UAUAGUCGCCGUCACGUAAAAUUGGCACCAUGUUUUUUGUUAAAAAUUUUUUAAAUAUCAGCCGCGUUUACUCAAGAUUGUGUUUUUCUUUUAGCGGAAGUAAAAUCCUGUCCAAAUAUCCACUACUGUCCUACCUUUUAUUGUGUUUGCACUGUAUAAUCCUGACCUUCACAUUUUUCAAGAUUAUUUACAUUGUAUAACCGCCAUCUUGGUUUCUAUGAGGGUCCCUUAUUCCAUAACAUUCGUUACUCUCCGGUAAUAUCAUUGUCAUUGAUGAUACAAUUUCCCGCGCUUUUUACGUAAAGAUGAUGAAAAGCUCCGAGAGACACAAGAAAAUGGAGAGCACGUGGAACUCCACGGCUACACUUCCGGUAAUAACAAUGUCGGAUUCCACCAUACAAAUUAAUCUUGGAUUAUGUGAAGGUCAGGAUUAUACAGUGCAAACACAAUAAAAGGUAGGACAGUAGUUGAUUUUUGGAAUGAUAUUUGAUUCCGCUAAUUGAAAAACAUGAUCUUUAGUAAACACGGUCGAUAUUUAAGAAAAUUUUGACAAAAAACAUGGUGCCAAUUUUACGUGACGGCGACUAUAAGU
This 592-nucleotide long non-coding RNA is filed under the name Mytilus galloprovincialis (Mediterranean mussel). Lineage: Eukaryota; Metazoa; Mollusca; Bivalvia; Mytilida; Mytilidae. The record is from RNAcentral.